This is a long non-coding RNA of Oncorhynchus keta (chum salmon), 1946 nucleotides long. RefSeq lists it as uncharacterized. The transcript has 3 exons. The record is from RefSeq and is a predicted model, not a curated record. Lineage: Eukaryota; Metazoa; Chordata; Actinopteri; Salmoniformes; Salmonidae.
GCAGAAUUGUUUAGAAAGAAGUGUGUUAGCAAAAAUAUAGUAGAAAAUAAUAGAAUCACCCCAGUAAGGAGCCGAUACCCAUGUGGGUGAUUGUAAGAUGAACUGAGGUCCAGACUCCAGUCCAGUUGGUUGUGUUCCCAGUGGUCUUGAAAGCACCAUCAGUUCCGAUUUCCGACACCUGUCAGAUGGUACUGUGACGUCCGAAGCUUCGAACGUCAUCCUCACGUGGUAUUGUUACGUUGACGCAAGCAUUGAAACGUUGUCGAAUCGGUAGUGCUUUGAAAACUGCAUCGGAGCUUCUGUAUUAAUCAUCCCGUCACUACCUUCUGAGAUCUCCAGACCCUCCUCACACCCCUCCUCCUUCACCAGCAGCACCUCUAGACCCUCCUGGAAGAGACAGGUGAUACAAAUUACACACAUACACUACCCUAAGGUACGUACACGGAUAAUACACAGACAUUGCAAAAAUCAGAAACUUUCUGUCCAAAAAUGAUGCAGAAAAAUUAAUCCAUGCUUUUGUUACUUCUAGGUUAGACUACUGCAGUGCUCUACUUUCCGGCUACCCGGAUAAAGCACUAAAUAAACUUCAGUUAGUGCUAAAUACGGCUGCUAGAAUCCUGACAAUAACUAAAAAAUGUGAUCAUAUUACUCCAGUGCUAGCCUCCCUACACUGGCUUGCUGUCAAGGCAAGGGCUGAUUUCAAGGUUUUACUGCUAACCUACAAAGCCUUACAUGGGCUUGCUCCUACCUAUCUCUCUGAUUUGGUCCUGCCGUACAUACCUACACGUAUGCUACAGUCACAAGACGCAGGCCUCCUAAUUGUCCCUAGAAUUUCUAAGCAAACAGCUGGAGGUAGGGCUUUCUCCUAUAGAGCUCAAUUUUUAUGGAAUGGUCUGCCUACCCAUGUGUGAGACGCAAACUUGGUCUCAACCUUUAAGUCUUUACUGAAGACUCAUCUCUUCAGUGGGUCAUAUGAUUGAGUGUAGUCUGGCACAGGGGUGUGAAGGUGAACGGAAAGGCUCUGGAGCAACGAACCGCCCUUGCUGUCUCUGCCUGGCCAGUUCCCCUCUUUCCACUGGGAUUCUCUGCCUCUAACGGUAUUACAGGGGCUGAGUCACUGGCUUACUGGUGCUCUUUCAUGACGUCCCUAGGAGAGGUGCGUCACUUGAGUGGGUUGAGUCACUGAUGUGAUCUUCCUGUCUAGGUUGCCCCGUGGUAAAGAUCUUUGUGGGCUAUACUCGGCCUUGUCUCAGGAUGGUGAGUUGGUUGUUGAAGAUAUCCCUCUAGUGGUGUGGGGGCUGUGCUUUGGCAAAGUGGGUGGGGUUAUAUCCUUCCUGUUUGGCCCUAUCUGGGGGUGUCAUCGGAUGGGGCCACAGUGUCUCCUGACCCCUCCUGUCUCAGCCUCCAGUAUUUAUGCUGCAGUAGUUUGUGUCGGGGCUAGGGUCAGUUUGUUAUAUCUGGGGUACUUCUCCUGUCUUAUUCGGUGUCCUGUGUGAAUUUAAGUAUGCUCUCUAAUUCUCUCUUUCUCUCGGAGGACCUGAGCCCUAGAACCAUGCCUCAGGACUACCUGACAUGAUGACUCCUUGCUGUCCCCAAUCCACCUGGCUGUGCUGCUGCUCCAGUUUCAACUGUUCUGCCUGUGAUUAUUAUUAUUUGACCAUGCUGGUUAUUUAUUUAUGAACAUUUGAACAUCUUGGCCAUGUUCUGUUAUAAUCUCCACCCGGCACAGCCAGAAGAGGACUGGCCACCCCUCAUAGCCUGGUUCCUCUCUAGGUUUCUUCCUAGGUUCUGGCCUUUCUAGGGAGUUUUUCCUAGCCACCGUGCUUCUACACCUGCAUUGCUUGCUGUUUGGGGUUUUAGGCUGGGUUUCUGUACAGCACUUUGAGAUAUCAGCUGAUGUAUGAAGGGCUAUAUAAAUAAAUUUGAUUUGAUAAAACACACUUUCA